UACGUAGGGUGCAAGCGUUGUCCGGAAUUAUUGGGCGUAAAGAGCUCGUAGGCGGUUUGUCGCGUCUGCUGUGAAAACUCGGGGCUUAACUCCGGGCCUGCAGUGGGUACGGGCAGACUAGAGUGCGGUAGGGGAGACUGGAAUUCCUGGUGUAGCGGUGAAAUGCGCAGAUAUCGGGAGGAACACCGGUGGCGAAGGCGGCGACCUGGGUCGAGACUGACGCUGAGGUGCGAAAGCGUGGGGAGCAAACAGG
RNAcentral lists this ribosomal RNA (253 nucleotides) under uncultured bacterium. Its description in RNAcentral is "partial 16S ribosomal RNA". It matches the Rfam family "Bacterial small subunit ribosomal RNA", at positions 524 to 776 of the family's 1533-position model. The record is from RNAcentral.